This 966-nucleotide ribosomal RNA is filed under the name uncultured organism. RNAcentral's name for it is "bacterial SSU rRNA". It matches the Rfam family "Bacterial small subunit ribosomal RNA", at positions 199 to 1196 of the family's 1533-position model. The record is from RNAcentral.
GAGUAAAGAUUUCGGUCGCUUUGGGAGGAGCUCGCUUACUAUCAGCUUGUUGGUAGGGUAAUGGCCUACCAAGGCUAUGACGGUUAGGGGGUGUGAGAGCAUGACCCCCAGCAUUGGCACUGAAACACUGGCCAAACACCUACGGGUGGCUGCAGUCGAGAAUCUUCCACAAUGGGGGAAACUCUGAUGGAGCGAUGCUGCGUGCGGGAUGAAGGCCUUCGGGUUGUAAACCGCUUUUGUAGGGGACGAAAUUUUUGACGGUACCCUUUCGAAUAAGAGGUUGCUAACUCUGUGCCAGCAGCAGCGGUAAUACAGAGACCUCAAGCGUUAUCCGGAUUUACUGGGCGUAAAGCGUCUGUAGGGGGUUUAUUAAGUUCCAAGUAAAAUUUCAAGGCUCAACUUUGAAUUCGCUUGGAAAACUAAUAAACUGGAGUCUAGCAGAGGUGCAUGGAACUUGUGGUGUAGGAGUGAAAUCCGUUGAUAUCACAAGGAACACCAAAGGCGAAGGCAUUGCACUGGGCUAGCACUGACCCUGAGAGACGAAAGCGUGGGGAGCAAAACGGAUUAGAUACCCGUGUAGUCCACGCCCUAAACGAUGAAUGCUAAAUGUUCGGGGAUUCGACCCCCUGGGUGUUACAGCUAACGCGUUAAGCAUUCCGCCUGGGAAGUACGGCCGCAAGGCUAAAACUCAAAGGAAUAGACGGGGAUCCGCACAAGCGGUGGAGCGUCUGGUUUAAUUCGACAGUAAGCGUGGUACCUCACCAGGGUUUGACAUCCCUUGACAGUCUUGGAAACAAGGUUUCAUUCGGGCAAGGUGACAGGUGCUGCAUGGUCGUCGUCAGUUCGUGCCGUGAGGUGUUCCGUUAAGUCGGGAAACGAACGAUACCCCUAUUGCAUGUUACAAUUUCUCAUGCAAGACUGCCCGGAUAUACUGGGAGGAAGGUGGGGAUGACGUCAGAUCUGCAU